AUGCAAGUAGAACGCUGAAGGAGGAGCUUGCUUCUCCGGAUGAGUUGCGAACGGGUGAGUAACGCGUAGGUAACCUGCCUGGUAGCGGGGGAUAACUAUUGGAAACGAUAGCUAAUACCGCAUAAUAGUAGAUGUCGCAUGACAUUUGCUUAAAAGGUGCAAUUGCAUCACUACCAGAUGGACCUGCGUUGUAUUAGCUAGUUGGUGGGGUAACGGCUCACCAAGGCGACGAUACAUAGCCGACCUGAGAGGGUGAUCGGCCACACUGGGACUGAGACACGGCCCAGACUCCUACGGGAGGCAGCAGUAGGGAAUCUUCGGCAAUGGACGGAAGUCUGACCGAGCAACGCCGCGUGAGUGAAGAAGGUUUUCGGAUCGUAAAGCUCUGUUGUAAGAGAAGAACGAGUGUGAGAGUGGAAAGUUCACACUGUGACGGUAUCUUACCAGAAAGGGACGGCUAACUACGUGCCAGCAGCCGCGGUAAUACGUAGGUCCCGAGCGUUGCCCGGAUUUAUUGGGCGUAAAGCGAGCGCAGGCGGUUAGAUAAGUCUGAAGUUAAAGGCUGUGGCUUAACCAUAGUACGCUUUGGAAACUGUUUAACUUGAGUGCAAGAGGGGAGAGUGGAAUUCCAUGUGUAGCGGUGAAAUGCGUAGAUAUAUGGAGGAACACCGGUGGCGAAAGCGGCUCUCUGGCUUGUAACUGACGCUGAGGCUCGAA
RNAcentral lists this ribosomal RNA (717 nucleotides) under uncultured Bacilli bacterium. RNAcentral's name for it is "bacterial SSU rRNA". It matches the Rfam family "Bacterial small subunit ribosomal RNA", at positions 55 to 757 of the family's 1533-position model. Lineage: Bacteria; Bacillati; Bacillota; Bacilli. The record is from RNAcentral.